Molecule: long non-coding RNA, 802 nt
Filed under: Capsicum annuum
Lineage: Eukaryota; Viridiplantae; Streptophyta; Magnoliopsida; Solanales; Solanaceae
Description: long non-coding RNA (CANN_LNC015188)
Source: RNAcentral
UUCAAUUUUUUUAUCAGCAUAAAAUAUCUAUUUUUUAAUUAUUGACAUCUCCAUCUUCUAAAAAUGAAAAUAUUUAUUUUUUAAUUUUUGACAUCUCCAUUUUCUAAAAAUGGAGAUUGAAAGUGUUGAAGUUCAGAGAUAAGGAAGGGAUUGUAAAUUUGGGGAUAAGAAACAAGAACAUGCUGAUUUAUAUUUUAGAUUUUACUUCCAUGAUAAUUUUAAUUUUUAGAUUUUAAUUUUUUGAUGAUUUUACUUUUUAAAUAAUAAUUACUUGUGACUUGAAAACUAUUUGAAAGGAAUAUGGGGACACUGGUGGUGGUUGCAGCAAUGGAGCAAAUUGGUGGUGGUUGCAACUAUGGAGAAAAAUUGAGUUGAAGAAAAAAGAAAAGUAAAAAGAGGAGGAAAAAGAAGAAGAAAGGAAACAAGUAAGAAAAAAAAUUAAGAAAAUGAGUUAAAAAUUCAAUUUGACACGUGUCAAUUAAUAAUUGGUGUGUGAUUAACACACACUCUUCAUAAAUUGAGGCUAAUACAGAAAUGGUGUAAUAAUAGUAUUUUAAACUUGUUGAGUUGGAUAAUAUGAUCCCCACAAACUUUAUGUAUUUUUUUGAAAAUUUGAGACAAUUUUAAUAAUGCUUAUGUCUUUUCUCUCAAAAUAACAAUAUGAUACUUCAAAUGUGAUUGAGUUAAUAUAGUAGAGAUAUCUCAUAAGGGAAAUCAGAAAUCAAAUUUAUUUUGAUUCUUUAUCAGCCGGUUGAGUUGGUGCAGCACAAUGUAUGUAGGAUUACUCCACCUAGUCCAUGUU